This is a long non-coding RNA of Triticum aestivum (bread wheat), 1476 nucleotides long. RefSeq lists it as uncharacterized. The record is from RefSeq and is a predicted model, not a curated record. NCBI's taxonomy places the organism in Eukaryota, Viridiplantae, Streptophyta, Magnoliopsida, Poales, Poaceae. The transcript is spliced from 3 exons.
UUCUUCCCGUCCUCCUCCACCCCGCCUAGGCGCCAUCUCCUCCUCUCCCUCUUCCAAGGCUCGCCCAGCCACCGUUCCCAGCCCCCGCUGCUUCGUCGUCUGCUCCUCCAUUGACGACAGUUUAGGUAAGACAAAGAUGAGUGUCCGAUCUACGCCCUCGCCAGGUUGCAUCCAUUGGUGAGGAGAGGCCGAUCCACGUAUGUGCUGUCGCUGCAGGAUAGCGAAUGUCAGCGAGAAAGGCCGUCAUUGGAGUACGCAGCCGUCUCCCUCUCCGCUUCUCCUGGUGGCACCUCCCUACCGGAGUCCAUUCUUCUUGGCUUUCAACACUGCCUGUUCUUGCUAGGAACUAUUGUUAUAUUACGCUCUGCAGUUGUUCUGCAGAUGGGAGGAAACAAGGAGGAUAAGGCAGUUUUUAUGCAAAUGUUGAUGUUUUUGGCUGGAAUCAACACCCUUCAAAAGAGUUUCUUUGGUUACCUGAUUGCCUGCGGUGAUUGGUGGAUCAUACACCUUUGUUCUACCUACCAUUUCGAUCAUACUUGCGGGACGCUAUGCAGACGAACCAGAUCCACACAUAUUAUAUGUUGAAAAGAAGGGUAAUUCUACUUGCCUCCCAGUAAUCUUUUCCUGCAUGUAAACUGACGAGUCACCUGGAUUUCGUUUUUGAAGGAAUUCCCCAAAAUCUUGCAUGGAGCAAAAGGUGCUUUGAUCGUUGCUUCUGUACUUGGUGAUCUUCUGUACUAUUUAAUAGUUGCUUCAUGUUUCUAUAGGAUACCCCCAUAUGCUACAUGACAACCAUAGUGAGCAUGUCAAAAGUUUAGCAUGCUUAUUAUAAUUCUCUUCUUUGUAAAUUAUUAUACGAAGUUUGCGUUUUGCUUGGUUAACUCCUCUGUGUUCUAUAGACUAUCGUGGUAAAGAGGUUUUUAUCAGGUUAUUCAUUCCCAUACAUUGAACCUAUGGUUCUAACUUUUUCCCAUGAUAAAGAAAAUGGGGUUUACCGCUUUUAAUCAAUAUCUAAUUAAACCAACAAAACAACUACAGUUCCGCCAACAUACCAUUUUUUGCUGGUGGACAUACCAAAUUACUCAUAUGUAUCAUAUUAUGCUGCUUCCCAUAUUGUUUUCUCCCAGGAAUGACAAGGCAUUCAGGUUCUCUUUUUAGCUUUCCUACACAGGAACGUAUUGCAAAAUUAAGAUACAUAACAUUGUUCCACCUACAGGUCUGUCUUAUAUCUACAGGUAUAUCCAUGCAUUCUUUGUUCUUUUUCUUCAGUGAUCUACUGAUCUUCGUGAUUUUGUUUAGUGCUAGAGUUAGCAAAAUUUGUCAUGGAGCAGAUUGUGCUUGACUUCACGUGUGUAUGAUGUAAUAUGAAUUAAUGGUAUCUUUGUGGUUGACUCGGUUAUGUGCCUUUUGUCUGAAUCAAUUGAGAAAAAUCUGAAUAUAUACCUGAAUGUGGUGGUUUCACACAUUCUGAAUGAA